This 474-nucleotide ribosomal RNA is filed under the name uncultured bacterium. RNAcentral's name for it is "SSU rRNA". It matches the Rfam family "Bacterial small subunit ribosomal RNA", at positions 26 to 523 of the family's 1533-position model. The record is from RNAcentral.
AGAGCGAACGCUGGCGGCAGGCUUAACACAUGCAAGUCGAGCGGGCGUAGCAAUACGUCAGCGGCAGACGGGUGAGUAACGCGUGGGAACAUACCUUUUGGUUCGGAACAACACAGGGAAACUUGUGCUAAUACCGGAUAAGCCCUUACGGGGAAAGAUUUAUCGCCAAAAGAUUGGCCCGCGUCUGAUUAGCUAGUUGGUGAGGUAAUGGCUCACCAAGGCGACGAUCAGUAGCUGGUCUGAGAGGAUGAUCAGCCACAUUGGGACUGAGACACGGCCCAAACUCCUACGGGAGGCAGCAGUGGGAAUAUUGGACAAUGGGCGCAAGCCUGAUCCAGCCAUGCCGCGUGAGUGAUGAAGGCCCUAGGGUUGUAAAGCCUUUUGUACGGAGAAAAGCUUCGGGUUAACAACCGGGAGUCAUGACGGUACCGUAAGAAUAAGCACCGGCUAACUUCGCGCCAGCAGCCGCGGUAA